CUAUAUUAUAUAAAAAUUGACAAUAAUCUUGCAGAUUACCUUACUAAAGGCCUUAAAGGGACUAAGGUUCUAGAGUCGUCGAGGGGCAUAGGACUUGGCUUAUAAUAGGCCUUCCAACCGUAAAAAUCCAAUCUUUAUGAUAAGGGACCUCUUGAAGGAGAUUUAAUGUAGUAAUAACAAGCUGAUUGACUGAUCAAAGAGCAUAUAUUUUUAUAUAUGUAAAAGAGUCCUCACUCUAUCCCUUUCUUAUAGUGAUUAGUGCUCUUGUGUA
Molecule: long non-coding RNA, 271 nt
Filed under: Elaeis guineensis (African oil palm)
Lineage: Eukaryota; Viridiplantae; Streptophyta; Magnoliopsida; Arecales; Arecaceae
Description: long non-coding RNA (EGUI_LNC002862)
Source: RNAcentral